This 80-nucleotide transfer RNA is filed under the name Stenotrophomonas maltophilia. RNAcentral describes it as "tRNA-Leu". The record is from RNAcentral. Lineage: Bacteria; Pseudomonadati; Pseudomonadota; Gammaproteobacteria; Lysobacterales; Lysobacteraceae. RNAcentral also lists the same sequence under 2 other names.
GGCCCGGAUGGCGAAACUGGUAGACGCAUCGGACUUAAAAUCCGUUUUGUCAAGCCCUUUCUGUUUGAGCGACCGGGCCA